Molecule: ribosomal RNA, 570 nt
Filed under: uncultured bacterium
Lineage: Bacteria
Description: partial 16S ribosomal RNA
Rfam family: Bacterial small subunit ribosomal RNA
Source: RNAcentral
GGNUUUGGGCAUGGGGCGAAACCUGACCANCAACGCCGCGUGCGCGAUGAAGGUCUUNGGGUNGUAAAGCNCUUUUCUNNGAGANGANAANGGNCAGUUUCUCAAGGAAUAAGCUCCUCGGGCUAACUACGUGCCAGCAGCCCGCGGGUANANCGGUAGGAGGCUAAGCGGUUAUCCGGGAUUUACUUGGGCGUAAAGCNUGUGNCAGGUGGUUUGCUAAGNNGGAUGUGAAANCUCCUGNCUCANCUGGGAAAGGNCNUUCAAUACUACCAGACUUGAGUNCGGUAGAGGGAGGUGGAAUUCCCAGGUGUAGUGGUGAAAUGCGUAGAUAUCGGGAGGAACACCAGUGGCGAAAGCGGCCCUCCUGGACCGUAANCUGACACUCUAGACACGAAAGCUAGGGUAGCAAACAGGGAUUAGAGACCCUGGUAGUCCUAGCCUGUAAACGAUGUGAACUUGGCGUCGGCGGCUUCAAAUCNUGUCGUGUGCCGAAGNAUNACGCUUAUAAGACUCACCCGCUGUGGGAGACUACGGCGCGCAAGGUAUAAAACUCAAAAAUAUUGACGAGAA